CCUACGGGUGGCUGCAGUGGGGAAUAUUGGGCAAUGGGCGCAAGCCUGACCCAGCAACGCCGCGUGAAGGAAGAAGGCUUUCGGGUUGUAAACUUCUUUUGACAGGGAAGAGCAGAAGACGGUACCUGUCGACUAAGCCACGGCUAACUACGUGCCAGCAGCCGCGGUAAUACGUAGGUGGCAAGCGUUGUCCGGUUUUACUGGGGGGAAAGGGCGUGUAGCCGGGCUGACAAGUCAGAUGUGAAAUCCGGGGGCUCAACCCCCGAACUGCAUUUGAAACUGUUGGUCUUGAGUAUCGGAGAGGCAGGCGGAAUUCCUAGUGGAGCGGUGAAAUGCGUAGAUAUUAGGAGGAACA
RNAcentral lists this ribosomal RNA (355 nucleotides) under uncultured bacterium. RNAcentral describes it as "partial 16S ribosomal RNA". It matches the Rfam family "Bacterial small subunit ribosomal RNA", at positions 338 to 708 of the family's 1533-position model. The record is from RNAcentral.